UACAGAGGAGCCAAGCGUUGUCCGGAUUGACUGGGCGUAAAGCGCACGCAGGCGGAUGCGCGCGUGGGGUGUGAAAUCUGGCCGCUUAACGGCCAGGCGCCAUCCCAUACGGCGCGUCUGGAGUGAUGCAGAGGUCGGUGGAAUUGCCGGUGUAGUGGUGAAAUGCGUAGAGAUCGGCAGGAACACCCAGGGGGAAACCAGCCGACUGGGCAUCUACUGACGCUGAGGUGCGAGAGCGCGGGGAGCGAACCGG
RNAcentral lists this ribosomal RNA (253 nucleotides) under uncultured bacterium. RNAcentral's name for it is "partial 16S ribosomal RNA". It matches the Rfam family "Bacterial small subunit ribosomal RNA", at positions 524 to 776 of the family's 1533-position model. The record is from RNAcentral.